This 251-nucleotide ribosomal RNA is filed under the name uncultured bacterium. RNAcentral describes it as "partial 16S ribosomal RNA". It matches the Rfam family "Bacterial small subunit ribosomal RNA", at positions 524 to 776 of the family's 1533-position model. The record is from RNAcentral.
GACGAACCGUGCGAACGUUGUUCGGAAUCACUGGGCUUAAAGGGCGCGUAGGCGGGCUCGCAAGUCAGGGGUGAAAGCCCGCGGCUCAACCGCGGAAGCGCCUUUGAUACUGCGGGCCUCGAGGGGGGUAGGGGCGUGCGGAACUUCCGGUGGAGCGGUGAAAUGCGUAGAUAUCGGAAGGAACACCGGUGGAAAGCGGCGCGCUGGACCCCCACUGACGCUGAGGCGCGAAAGCCAGGGGAGCAAACGGG